AACGAACGCUGGCGGCAUGCCUAACACAUGCAAGUCGAACGAGACCUUCGGGUCUAGUUGCGCACGGGUGCGUAACGCGUGGGAACCUGCCCUUAGGUUCGGAAUAACUCCCCGAAAGGGGUGCUAAUACCGGAUAAUGUCUUCGGACCAAAGAUGUAUCGCCUUUGGAUGGGCCCGCGUUGGAUUAGCUAGUUGGUAGGGUAAAAGCCUACCAAGGCGACGAUCCAUAGCUGGUCUGAGAGGAUGACCAGCCACACUGGGAAUGAGACACGGCCCAGACUCCUACGGGAGGGAGCAGUGGGGAAUAUUGGACAAGGGGCGAAAGCCUGAUCCAGCAAUGCCGGGGGAGUGAUGAAGGCCUUAGGGUUGUAAAGCUCUUUUAGCCGGGAUGAUAAUGACAGUACCGGGAGAAUAAGCUCCGGCUAACUCCGUG
RNAcentral lists this ribosomal RNA (433 nucleotides) under uncultured bacterium. Its description in RNAcentral is "partial 16S ribosomal RNA". It matches the Rfam family "Bacterial small subunit ribosomal RNA", at positions 29 to 507 of the family's 1533-position model. The record is from RNAcentral.